AAAGCUUGCUUUCUUUGCUGGCGACCGGCGCACGGGUGAGUAACACGUAUCCAACCUGCCCUUUACUCGGGGAUAGCCUUUCGAAAGAAAGAUUAAUACCCGAUAGCAUAAUGAUUCCGCAUGGUUUCAUUAUUAAAGGAUUCCGGUAAAGGAUGGGGAUGCGUUCCAUUAGGUUGUUGGUGAGGUAACGGCCCACCAAGCCUUCGAUGGAUAGGGGUUCUGAGAGGAAGGUCCCCCACAUUGGAACUGAGACACGGUCCAAACUCCUACGGGAGGCAGCAGUGAGGAAUAUUGGUCAAUGGGCGUUAGCCUGAACCAGCCAAGUAGCGUGAAGGAUGAAGGCUCUAUGGGUCGUAAACUUCUUUUAUAUAAGAAUAAAGUGCAGUAUGUAUACUGUUUUGUAUGUAUUAUAUGAAUAAGGAUCGGCUAACUCCGUGCCAGCAGCCGCGGUAAUACGGAGGAUCCGAGCGUUAUCCGGAUUUAUUGGGCUUAGAGGGAGCGUAGGUGGACUGGUAAGUCAGUUGUGAAAGUUUGCGGCUCAACCGUAAAAUUGCAGUUGAUACUGUCAGUCUUGAGUACAGUAGAGGUGGGCGGAAU
This 597-nucleotide ribosomal RNA is filed under the name uncultured Bacteroidales bacterium. RNAcentral describes it as "bacterial SSU rRNA". It matches the Rfam family "Bacterial small subunit ribosomal RNA", at positions 75 to 667 of the family's 1533-position model. The record is from RNAcentral. Lineage: Bacteria; Pseudomonadati; Bacteroidota; Bacteroidia; Bacteroidales.